Scylla paramamosain (green mud crab) is the source of this 6202-nucleotide RNA transcript. RefSeq lists it as uncharacterized. The record is from RefSeq and is a predicted model, not a curated record. The transcript is spliced from 8 exons. NCBI's taxonomy places the organism in Eukaryota, Metazoa, Arthropoda, Malacostraca, Decapoda, Portunidae.
CUUCAGGAGUGGAAUACCCCAGUACAGGUAAUGAAAUAUUGCAUUUGUGAUCAUGCAUGAUUUCAUUCAAGAAACAUGCAUUUCAGAUCUUUUGGAAACCAGACUUUCAGGUACAAGAUAUUUCUUGUCCCUGUAAGCUACAUCUGUUCAUGUGCUUUUGAGUACAUGCAUUUGCUUUUCUGUGCUGUGUUUGACUGUUCAUGUGGUUAAAUUUUCUUGAAUUUCCAUCUAAGAAAAUAGCUGAAACAUAAGAGUCUCUCUCUCUCUCUCUCUCUCUCUCUCUCUCUCUCUCUCUCUCUCUCUCUCUCUCUCUCUCUUUGAACACUCCUUUUUCCAUUUCAAAGGGGGUCAUUUUUUUCACUACAUCUGGGCAUGAUCUGCCAACGUUAGUACUAAGUACUCACGGAUUCGAUUAUUCAGCAUGGCGGAUCCGCAGGACUGGUCUGAACAGUACUUGAGGUGGGUCAUAGUAUACCACACCCUCUAAGAAAUUGUCCUUCCGUUCAUACCUCCCCCGUGCAUCAUUUAAUGAAAUUCCCUUCCAGAUUUUAUAGAUAAAAAGAUCAAGAAAAACUUUUUUUUUUUUUAAUGGAGUAUAAAUCAAAUACUAUAGUGAGAUACUUGAGACUGUUCACUGAGUGUUCAUUUACUGUAGAUCUUAAAUUCUUGGCUGAAUGCAUGCCAGUGCACAACGUGGGUCCCCUUCAGCGUUCAGCCUAUUUAUUUGGUCCUGACAACAACAAGCAUGUCAAAGGCAACUUCACGAAGAUAUAUGGAUCCGAACAUUGUUACAAUUGGAAGAGCACGGUGUGAAAUCAUAGGGUAAAGAGCUAGGGAGGUCCUCACCAAUAAAUUUUAGGCUGCUUUUUUUUUAUGUAAUUAUAACAACAGAGAUCAAGCAAACGUCUGCAGCCUUAAAUGAAUAAACGUGAAAUUGUCACAAUGUAUACAGAAGACUGAGAGAGAAAAGGUUCACCGGUCACCGACGAGCAGUACGCGCUGUUGUGCUACACCACUCCCGUGACGCGGUGCGAUUUGGCGCAACAGCACGACCCCGGCCAGACGAUUAGUCGAUCACUUGACCCGCGGUGCUCGUGAGGGGAGACUGGCCAUAAUUGGACCCGUGAGGCACUCUCGCUUAUGUCCGCAAUACAUUAAUACAAAAGAAUACAAGGAGUAUUGUAAUGGAUUCUACAGAGACACAAGUGAAUUUUCCCAGAGAUAAGAGCGAGGAUACACUGUUGAAGUCUCUAGACAGGCUGGAAUUAAAAUAUGAAGUGGCAUUGCAAGAGUGGCAGCAGAUCUCGAAAGUGAUUCAGGAGAAGGAUGAUCCGCAGCCCCUUGGAAGAAGCAAGCACCUUCCCAAGCGACUUCCAAAAUUGGCUACUCUGAGUGACAUCAAUGGGAGCUUGCCAGGUGAGCCAGCUAUUAGGAUGAAGCUUGUGAAGGUAGUGAGUCAGUGCAGGAUGCAGGAGAUGCAGGUCAGGGCACUGGAACAGACUUUGGAAAACCACACAAAGAAGCUGGCAAAUGAGAAAAAACAACAGCUCCAUUUACAACAGCAACUCCAAACUGUUUUACAUGAGAAAGAAGAGGCACAGGAAUUAACACAAAAAAUAAAGGCAAAUUUACAGAGGGAAGCACCUCUUGCUGAAACUGCUGAGAGGGCACUGGCAGAAAAUGCAGAAAAAUUAGCAAAGAUAGAUGAAGAAGUUAUGAAGAUAAGAGGAGAAGCCAUAGACUUGGUGCAGAUGCAUCAGGUUAGAAAUGAAGUGCAGGGACAGGUGGAGGCUUUGUGCAGCAGGGUCACUGAAUUGGAGGAAAAGAAGACAGAAGCACUAGAGAGGAUGAGGAGUUUGCUUGCAGAGGAAACCAUGACUUCCCAAAAUAUGAAAGCUGCUGUCACAGAGGUAUGCACUGAGCAGAAAGAACAUGCAGUUGAGAUGGAUGAGAAGUAUCAUAUUUUAUGGUCCAAUGUAGAGCAGCUGUUGGGGUGCUGUGACAAGUUCCUAGAGCUGACAAUACCUGAAGUAGAGGCUCUCAAAUUAGAUGCUCAUCAAGCUAAUGAAUCAGAUAGAAUACAGACAUUUGUCUCCCACUCCCAGGUUGAAAUUAGAGAUGAUCAUUCAGAAGUUGUAUCUGCAGAAGCUCAGUCUGAUGUCAGUGAAGCACACUCUCCUGGCCAAGAUGUAACUCACCAUGAGGAUUUUUCUCAAAGGGUGGAGUCACUUUCUAUUAGUCUAAUUGAAAGAGAUUGUGAUGAUAACCAUAUUGUAUCUGUGGAUGAUGGUAAUCAGCUUGAUAGUGAGAAUACUGAAGUUCAUUUAGAGCCCAUCACAGAUGAAGAUCAGCAUGAAAGAGAUGCUGGUGCAGAUAAGCAAGAUUUGGAAUUUGCUGAAGUCCAGUCUGUUGCAAAGCAAACAGAAAUUCGGGUUAAACAUCCACUUCCAAAUCAGACUGAGGUUGAUCCUAACACACAUUCUACUUUAGAACUGCUCCUUGAGAGUCCUUCACCUGUUUUGACACAAAAUGAGAGAUCUUAUAAAGUUACAAAAAACUCAACUUCACCUGAAUUUAAUGGAAAUGAUGUAACAGCUACUUCAGAAAUUCAGUUAGAACAUGAUAUUUCACAUGCAGACACAUCAGUAAAUUUUGUAGAAGUGCAAUGCUUUCCUUUUUCAAGUAGAAAUCAGAAAUGUUCUUCACUGAACAAAGAGUUGCUAAUUACUGAGAUUGUUCUUAAUGGGGCUGUUCAAGCUAGCCUUUCUCCCACAAUUGUUUCCCAGAAUAACCAGACCAUAGCAAAUGAGGAAACUACUCCACAAGUCUGUAAUACAGUAAGUACAUGUACAUUAACAAGCAACUUUUCCCAGCCCUGUGUAUCACAUGUGUCUGUUUCUUCAACACUUGACACACUAUGUGUUGGCAGUCACAUAGAAAGCAGAGCAGCAAAUGAAAACACAAUUCCUACACAUACAGAGGAGAAUCAGGCAGAUGAGGUUUCUGCUUUGGCUCUUGAAGUAAUGAAAAAGGGUGCAAACAUAAAACAAAUUGAAGGUUCACCUUCACUUUCUACACACCAAAAGAAAAGUGAUAGUACAACAUCAGCCUGUCAAGGGGAAUGUAUGCCAAACAGUACUAUCAUUUUUUCAACAGAGGAAGAUUCUUCACAAGUAUCUUCAGAUAAUGUUGCUCUGAAUAAUUUUCCUUCAGCCUCACAGACUUUCACCUCAACUAUGGUAAUGCCAAAAGAGUGUUUCUCUUUAACCAACAAACUGAGCACAACUGCUCCACUACAUUUUACCAAAACAGAAGAAAGUAUGGUUUUGCUCUCCUCAGAGAAGCAACAUGAAGAAGCUGAUGAGCUGCCUGAUUUAGACAAACAAAUUUCUUUUAGUAUUUCUACAAAUCUUGUAUCAGACCAGAUGGACAAGCAGCCUGCAAGCUCAGUUUCACAGAUGAGAGAACAUGAGACACUCUUAAGUGAUUCUCUCCAGCAAGAUGAAAGUUAGAAAAAAAUAUUAGAAUGUGGUGAUAUAUCAAAAACCAGAUGUGUCACAAAUGUAGGACUAUUUAUUUACCUACCAAAGAAGGAAGUAGCAUCAUCCAUUUCCAAAAUCUUGAUGCCAGACUGUAAGAUAAAUCUCUGACCUUUCAGGUUUUAGUGGAAACUUGAUAGGAAAUAGAUAAUUGGAAAGGUCAGUGUAAGAUGAAAGGAAGUUGCUAAUUGAUUGCCAUGACUACAUAGACUAAAGAAAAAUAAGUUUUAGUCAUAUUGAUAAGGAAAAGGACAUUACUCAGAAGAUUGGGAACAUCAGAAGACCUACUAGAUACUGUUGCAUCUACCUUGACAAAAUGUUUGUUUGUUUAUUUUGUGUUCAUUACUCUCAUUCUCCAAAUACUCUUGUAAAUCCAUGUUAUGUUAGACAUGGACUCUUGCAGAGAUCAAUAAUGGUAAUAUAAGAGGUCGUUUUCUUCUUUUGUUUAAUAUUUCAUCUCUUGAACCACUGAAUAGUUUCUUAUUUUUUUUUUUAGUUUCUUUUAUACUUGUUUAUUCAUUUACUUGGUUUAUCUUUUUUCAUCUAUUUUAUUUUUAUUUAUAUUUAUUCAUUUAUUAUUAUUAUUGUUAUUAUUUAUUACUACUUUUUUUGCUAUUACUAUCAUUGCAGUACUAUCAUCAGUUAUUUUCAUUAUGUUAAAUGAGUUUUCCGCAGAAAGGGAGAUCUGUAUUUUGCCAUGGAGAAUCUUAAUUAAGUAUAGCCUUGUAAGCGUUGAUGGUCGUGAGCUAGGCCAGACAGAGUACCCUUCCCUUUGCAUUUUGUUAGUAUUUUUAACCAAAUUAAGUGUCAUAAGAUACUGUAGGGAAAACACACUACCAUGAUAAUGUAUACUUGGUACAUAAUAGCUUGCCAAUAAAGAAAACGCUGCCUCUAUUGGCGCGAUGAGGGUUAUGUAACAGUAAAGACCAUUCAUCUGUAAAACCUUGGAAUUUUAUGAUGCGCUGAUUCAAACAACUCUUGCAUUGUUAUCACCAGCGUGGGUCUUUGUCCUCAGCCCAUCAAAAGUCUAGGCAAUUACAUGAGCUGAAUAUACAACUCAUUCUCCAAAGUCUUGUAAAUCCAUGCUAUGUUAGAUAAGGACUUGCAGAUGGAGAUCAAUAAUGGUAAUAUAAGAGGUCGUUUUCUUGUAACUGCUUACGGGUUCUCCACCAAACCUAUUCGGUGUUAACAGGUUAACCACUUUUCCUCCACUCCCUGCCUAGCCACUCCUCACACUUCUCCGCUCUUUAUCUAUGUAUUUAUUCACUUAUUUACUUAUCUUUGUUUUUUUUUCAGUGGAGCCUACGUGAAAAUAUCUCACUUGCCUAAAAAAAUAAAAUCGUAUAAAGAAUUUUCGUAAGAUUGGCCUAUUCAAUGCCAGAAGUGUCUUGACACGUCUCUCUUGAAACUCUAAAUCUUAGGAAAUGGAAAACAAAUAACAAAUAAACAUGGAAAUUUGGCAAAUGGAAUCAUAAAGGGAUCUUGUGUUUAUAUUAGUUGACGUAACGAGUUGUGACGCAUUAGACGGGAUUACGGUCAUUACAUGUGAAAGGGCAGGAGGGAGACGUGAUGUGUGUGUGUGUGUGUGUGUGUGUGUGUGUAAAGGAAGAGUGAGAAGCAGAUAAAAAAAAAAUGAGGUUAUGAGGGAAUUGGCGUGGGAUGGAAGACACUUAAUUACUAUCAAGGUAGUUUCAUUAUCGAAAGGUGACGUGACAUCUUCAUCCGUUGGUCAGGUCACGGAGAUGCUGAUCAAAUGCUUCUAAGCUGUAACUGUGCUUUCUGUUGCUUCAAGGCACAAAUAGCUGUCGUGUCAAAGUGCACGUAAUAUAUUGCAGCUUCGCCCUCCUCCAAGCGGUAAAGUGAGGUAAAGUUGUUGAACGUAUGGGUGUGUUGACUUUUUCGCUCUAUCCACUAAUAUGUUCAGUGUUCCUUGCCUCAAGCUGUGUGCACACUGCCUGCAACUGUGUGAACUGAAUGGUGAUUUGAUGUCACUGUUUGCCCACACUGCUGCUCCUUGUGUUAUUGUGUUAUCGCAAAGACCGCAAAUAAGAGACAAUAACAGCAGAUGUAGAUCAUUGUAUUGUCAUUUAUUUAUAUUGAUCAACUUGUUUUUAUGUUUGCCUGAAAUAUAAGCACAUACAUACACUACCGAAUGACUGAACAAGUCUUCCACACGCUGACGACCACAUUGUAGUACCAGUACGGUGAUGGUUCAUUGAUAUGUUUUGUUUCUUCACUCGUUUGUAAUACAUUGCACUAUUUGGGUACUGCGGCUCAUCCUGCCUUGGGUGUUGCAAGUGUAGGUGUUGUUUGUCUUGGUGAGGAUCGUGUGUAGCUGACGGUGUGACGGUGGAGGCCCGGAGGGAGUGAAUAGUCGAAGCCAAUCCAGGAACGCUUCGAGGCUCCAAAGCGUGUCUCAGCCGAUGUAAAGUCAGGCGUGCGUCUCAUCCGUCUUUCAUUUGGUCUCUGCUCAUCGUCCAGUUCCGAUAUUCUACAGACGGCGAGUGAGGCAGCGUGUGGAUGAGGGAGCUUGGCGUCCUAGCAGCAGUGACACCCUCACCAGGACGAGGAAGCUUGGGUGGUUCAGCUUCUCGUGAACAGAUACGCAUGUAAAUAAAAUGUACAAGAGCUAAAAAUAUGAAUUAAAUAAAUAAAUGCAUUCC